CCUGUCUGUAUUAUGUAUAAAUAAUGUGAUCAAACUAAGGUCUUGCACUAGGAUAAACCGUCAUUACUCACACAGCUUUUUUGCGCACGUUUUAAUCGUGCCCAGAAAAAUAAAAUGCUACAUGUAAUGGACAAGAUAAUCAAAUGUUGAUUUUCAAGAUUGCUAUAACUAUCAAAUAUUUACAUAAGCUGAAAAUAUUAUUGCCAUCUGUUUGCCGUUCAAGUAACGAAUCUUUAUUGGUUUUUUUUCGGGGUUUGUUUAAACUAGCUUUAUUGGAUUUUUCAUAUGAGUGGAACUAGUAGCUAUCAAUCCACUUGCGCAUUAUCAACUUUAAAGUUAAAAUGAUAUUAGUUUUACAGAUUACAAUGUUUCCAUUAGUCUCAAAUUUUAGAAAAUUGAUCAGCAAGGCAAGAUAGUUUUACUACUAUACUUGGAAAAAAGGCAUCGUUGGUUUAUGUCUGUCAUAUUUGUUUUUCGUAAACUGUUUUGUUAUAAAUUAGGCCGUUAGUUUUUCAUCGAAUUGUUUUAUAUUUUUAAUGUCGGGGCCUCUAAUAGCAGACUAUACGGUAUGGGUUUUUCUCAUUGUUGAAAGCCGUAAGGUUGCAUAUAUUUGCUUACAUUUACUUCAUUUGUACUUUAGUGGAUAGUUGUAUCACUGGCAAUUAUAAUCUUUUAAUUAACAUUAAUAACGAAUAGAGAAGAAAUAGUAUACACUUCUGCAAGUUACGUUUACAAACUUUAUUACCAGAUGUGUAGAUCUUUGAUAAA
Molecule: long non-coding RNA, 768 nt
Filed under: Mytilus galloprovincialis (Mediterranean mussel)
Lineage: Eukaryota; Metazoa; Mollusca; Bivalvia; Mytilida; Mytilidae
Source: RNAcentral